RNAcentral lists this ribosomal RNA (374 nucleotides) under uncultured organism. RNAcentral's name for it is "partial 16S ribosomal RNA". It matches the Rfam family "Bacterial small subunit ribosomal RNA", at positions 527 to 896 of the family's 1533-position model. The record is from RNAcentral.
GUAGGUGGCAAGCGUUGUCCGGAAUUAUUGGGCGUAAAGCGCGCGCAGGCGGUUCUUUAAGUCUGAUGUGAAAGCCCACGGCUCAACCGUGGAGGGUCAUUGGAAACUGGAGAACUUGAGUACAGAAGAGGAAAGCGGAAUUCCACGUGUAGCGGUGAAAUGCGUAGAGAUGUGGAGGAACACCAGUGGCGAAGGCGGCUUUCUGGUCUGUAACUGACGCUGAGGCGCGAAAGCGUGGGGAGCAAACAGGGAUUAGAUACCCUGGUAGUCCACGCCGUAAACGAUGAGUGCUAAGUGUUAGGGGGGUUUCCGCCCCCUUAGUGCUGCAGCUAACGCAUUAAGCACUCCGCCUGGGGAGUGCGGCCGCAAGGCUG